UGGCGAGAUGAGUAGGCAGGAAAUAGGAGCUUAUCAGAAUAAACCUAUGUGACACCGCGUUUGGCGCUUAUGUAUAUAUUCUCACUUUUUGGGAUCUGCUUAGGAUUACUCUCUGUUUUUCUUAUGUACAGCGUUUCAGAUUUACAUAUACGGUGAUAUUUUAAAAUCGCAAUACGAGGCGACUUGUUAAAUGGAAAUCUAAGUAUGUUGAAAUCCUAGCUUCCCACAGACUGGAGUGAUUGACCUGGCUGGAAAAGAUCAUCCGACACUCUCUGGUCAAGGGAAAUCGAACACCAAUUUAGGGUUUUCUACCAUUCCUACAAUCUGGGUAAUCGAAAAAGUGCUUACGUCAUGUUAAAGACAAACAAGGUCUGCCAAGAUCAAGGCGCUUGGCAAUCAGCUUUGUGCAUGCCCCAUUAUCUUCCAAAUUAGCUGUGACCCCCUGGGGCCCGAAGAACAUCGCGUGUGCCUUAAAAAUAUUUUGGACAGAUGUGCAUGUACAUUAUUUAUAAAUGCCAAUGAAUUAAAUUUGUAGAAUUUUUCAUGUAAAACCAAAGUUUCCCUCACCUA
Long non-coding RNA from Drosophila ficusphila, 570 nucleotides. RefSeq lists it as uncharacterized. The record is from RefSeq and is a predicted model, not a curated record. NCBI's taxonomy places the organism in Eukaryota, Metazoa, Arthropoda, Insecta, Diptera, Drosophilidae. The transcript is spliced from 2 exons.